AGAGUUUGAUCCUGGCUCAGGAUGAACGCUGGCGGCGUGCUUAACACAUGCAAGUCGAACGAACCUUCGGGUUAGUGGCGGACGGGUGAGUAACGCGUGGGAAUCUGCCCUCAGGAGGGGGAUAACGGUUGGAAACGACCGCUAAUACCCCAUAUGCCGAGAGGUGAAAUGAAUUUCGCCUGAGGAUGAGCCCGCGUCUGAUUAGCUUGUUGGUGAGGUAAUGGCUCACCAAGGCUUCGAUCAGUAGCUGGUCUGAGAGGAUGAUCAGCCACACUGGGACUGAGACACGGCCCAGACUCCUACGGGAGGCAGCAGUGGGGAAUUUUCCGCAAUGGGCGAAAGCCUGACGGAGCAACGCCGCGUGAGGGAUGAAGGCCUCUGGGCUGUAAACCUCUUUUCUCAAGGAAGAAGAUCUGACGGUACUUGAGGAAUAAGCCACGGCUAAUUCCGUGCCAGCAGCCGCGGUAAUACGGGAGUGGCAAGCGUUAUCCGGAAUUAUUGGGCGUAAAGCGUCCGUAGGCGGCUUUUCAAGUCUGCUGUUAAAAAGUGGAGCUUAACUCCAUCAUGGCAGUGGAAACUGUUGGGCUUGAGUGUGGUAGGGGCAGAGGGAAUUCCCGGUGUAGCGGUGAAAUGCGUAGAUAUCGGGAAGAACACCAGUGGCGAAGGCGCUCUGCUGGGCCAUAACUGACGCUCAUGGACGAAAGCCAGGGGAGCGAAAGGGAUUAGAUACCCCUGUAGUCCUGGCCGUAAACGAUGA
Molecule: ribosomal RNA, 757 nt
Filed under: marine metagenome
Description: bacterial SSU rRNA
Rfam family: Bacterial small subunit ribosomal RNA
Source: RNAcentral